Molecule: ribosomal RNA, 2310 nt
Filed under: Citrobacter portucalensis
Lineage: Bacteria; Pseudomonadati; Pseudomonadota; Gammaproteobacteria; Enterobacterales; Enterobacteriaceae
Description: partial 23S ribosomal RNA
Rfam family: Bacterial large subunit ribosomal RNA
Source: RNAcentral
GUCCCGUACACAAAAGUGCAUGUGUUGUGAACUCGAAGAGUAGGGCGGGACACGUGGUAUCCUGUCUGAAUAUGGGGGGACCAUCCUCCAAGGCUAAAUACUCCUGACUGACCGAUAGUGAACCAGUACCGUGAGGGAAAGGCGAAAAGAACCCCGGCGAGGGGAGUGAAAAAGAACCUGAAACCGUGUACGUACAAGCAGUGGGAGCACCCUUUGGGGUGUGACUGCGUACCUUUUGUAUAAUGGGUCAGCGACUUAUAUUCUGUAGCAAGGUUAACCGAAUAGGGGAGCCGAAGGGAAACCGAGUCUUAACUGGGCGUUAAGUUGCAGGGUAUAGACCCGAAACCCGGUGAUCUAGCCAUGGGCAGGUUGAAGGUUGGGUAACACUAACUGGAGGACCGAACCGACUAAUGUUGAAAAAUUAGCGGAUGACUUGUGGCUGGGGGUGAAAGGCCAAUCAAACCGGGAGAUAGCUGGUUCUCCCCGAAAGCUAUUUAGGUAGCGCCUCGUGAAUUCAUCUUCGGGGGUAGAGCACUGUUUCGGCUAGGGGGUCAUCCCGACUUACCAACCCGAUGCAAACUGCGAAUACCGAAGAAUGUUAUCACGGGAGACACACGGCGGGUGCUAACGUCCGUCGUGAAGAGGGAAACAACCCAGACCGCCAGCUAAGGUCCCAAAGUCAUGGUUAAGUGGGAAACGAUGUGGGAAGGCACAGACAGCCAGGAUGUUGGCUUAGAAGCAGCCAUCAUUUAAAGAAAGCGUAAUAGCUCACUGGUCGAGUCGGCCUGCGCGGAAGAUGUAACGGGGCUAAACCAUGCACCGAAGCUGCGGCAGCGACACUAUGUGUUGUUGGGUAGGGGAGCGUUCUGUAAGCCGUUGAAGGUGUACUGUGAGGUAUGCUGGAGGUAUCAGAAGUGCGAAUGCUGACAUAAGUAACGAUAAUGCGGGUGAAAAACCCGCACGCCGGAAGACCAAGGGUUCCUGUCCAACGUUAAUCGGGGCAGGGUGAGUCGACCCCUAAGGCGAGGCCGAAAGGCGUAGUCGAUGGGAAACAGGUUAAUAUUCCUGUACUUGGUGUUACUGCGAAGGGGGGACGGAGAAGGCUAUGUUAGCCGGGCGACGGUUGUCCCGGUUUAAGCAUGUAGGCGGNNNNNNNNNNNNNNNNNNNNNNNNNNNNNNNNNNNNNNNNNNNNNNNNNNNNNNNNNNNNNNNNNNNNNNNNNNNNNNNNNNNNNNNNNNNNNNNNNNNNCAUGGAGCUGAAAUCAGUCGAAGAUACCAGCUGGCUGCAACUGUUUAUUAAAAACACAGCACUGUGCAAACACGAAAGUGGACGUAUACGGUGUGACGCCUGCCCGGUGCCGGAAGGUUAAUUGAUGGGGUUAUCCGUAAGGAGAAGCUCUUGAUCGAAGCCCCGGUAAACGGCGGCCGUAACUAUAACGGUCCUAAGGUAGCGAAAUUCCUUGUCGGGUAAGUUCCGACCUGCACGAAUGGCGUAAUGAUGGCCAGGCUGUCUCCACCCGAGACUCAGUGAAAUUGAACUCGCUGUGAAGAUGCAGUGUACCCGCGGCAAGACGGAAAGACCCCGUGAACCUUUACUAUAGCUUGACACUGAACACUGGUCCUUGAUGUGUAGGAUAGGUGGGAGGCUUUGAAGUGUGGACGCCAGUCUGCAUGGAGCCAUCCUUGAAAUACCACCCUUUAAUGGCUGGUGUUCUAACGUAGACCCGUAAUCCGGGUUGCGGACAGUGUCUGGUGGGUAGUUUGACUGGGGCGGUCUCCUCCUAAAGAGUAACGGAGGAGCACGAAGGUUAGCUAAUCCUGGUCGGACAUCAGGAGGUUAGUGCAAAGGCAUAAGCUAGCUUGACUGCGAGAGUGACGGCUCGAGCAGGUGCGAAAGCAGGUCUUAGUGAUCCGGUGGUUCUGAAUGGAAGGGCCAUCGCUCAACGGAUAAAAGGUACUCCGGGGAUAACAGGCUGAUACCGCCCAAGAGUUCAUAUCGACGGCGGUGUUUGGCACCUCGAUGUCGGCUCAUCACAUCCUGGGGCUGAAGUAGGUCCCAAGGGUAUGGCUGUUCGCCAUUUAAAGUGGUACGCGAGCUGGGUUUAGAACGUCGUGAGACAGUUCGGUCCCUAUCUGCCGUGGGCGCUGGAGAAUUGAGGGGGGCUGCUCCUAGUACGAGAGGACCGGAGUGGACGCAUCACUGGUGUUCGGGUUGUCAUGCCAAUGGCAUUGCCCGGUAGCUAAAUGCGGAAGAGAUAAGUGCUGAAAGCAUCUAAGCACGAAACUUGCCCCGAGAUGAGUUCUCCCUGA